UUUAUCGUUCCAACUGACACUGAAAAAAUUCAUUUUGCAAUUCAAUUUUCAAGAUAUAUUUUGGAUUUUUUCAUAAAAUUUUUAUCGGACUGAAAUAUCUUUUUUUUUAACGGAAUUCUCUAGGUGAUCCACAGCAGCUCCAAUUUGAAAUUCAACAAGAAACGAGUCACGAGUUCAGACACCUGUUGAGUCUCAUGUGUAAGGUUUCACGUGACUGCAAUUACCGGUACAUCGGGAUCAUGUGCUUAUCGAAAAAAUUGUGCAUUCAGGUGUAAUGGAUUUUCCUAGGAAUGCAGAGGGAUAAUUGUUCAGCAGCAUUCAUUGACUCCUGCCAAGAAGAAAGAACUUCACAUUCAGGGAUUCAGUGAAUAUUCUCAACUGUCAAUUGUCAUAUUAUUUUUUGCCCAUCAGUCUGCGGUGCCAGGACUAUAAAGUUGUCCUUCGAAAUUCAAAUAUUCAUCCUCGUUUUCUUUCCUUGAUGAUUUUAUAGCCAGUGCGUGUCUCCUACCUCGGCUUUAUUUUUUUGGCACCGGUUUCGCAAUGAAUUUAAUAAUUUAAAAAACAAAUCGAGUAUCAAAUCCUCCAAUCAUUCUAAAUGACGUAAUUUUUAAUAAAAAUUCAAGUGUGCAGAAGAAUAAAUAUUGAAUGAAAUCAUAA
Molecule: long non-coding RNA, 657 nt
Organism: Fopius arisanus
Lineage: Eukaryota; Metazoa; Arthropoda; Insecta; Hymenoptera; Braconidae
Exons: 2
Source: RefSeq, a predicted model, not a curated record